RNAcentral lists this ribosomal RNA (504 nucleotides) under uncultured fungus. RNAcentral describes it as "SSU rRNA". It matches the Rfam family "Eukaryotic small subunit ribosomal RNA", at positions 248 to 755 of the family's 1831-position model. The record is from RNAcentral. Lineage: Eukaryota; Fungi.
GAUUCAUAAUAACUUUUCGAAUCGCAUGGCCUUGCGCCGGCGAUGGUUCAUUCAAAUUUCUGCCCUAUCAACUUUCGAUGGCAGGGUCUUGGCCUGCCAUGGUGACAACGGGUAACGGAGGGUUAGGGCUCGACCCCGGAGAAGGAGCCUGAGAAACGGCUACUACAUCCAAGGAAGGCAGCAGGCGCGCAAAUUACCCAAUCCCGACUCGGGGAGGUAGUGACAAUAAAUACUGAUACAGGGCUCUUUUGGGUCUUGUAAUUGGAAUGAGUACAAUUUAAAUCCCUUAACGAGGAACAAUUGGAGGGCAAGUCUGGUGCCAGCAGCCGCGGUAAUUCCAGCUCCAAUAGCGUAUAUUAAAGUUGUUGCAGUUAAAAAGCUCGUAGUUGAACCUUGGGCCUGGCUGGCCGGUCCGCCUCACCGCGUGCACUGGUUCGGCCGGGCCUUUCCCUCUGGGGAACCGCAUGCCCUUCACUGGGUGUGUCGGGGAACCAGGACUUUUAC